GAACAGAAUCAGUGAGGGGAAGGAUGAAGAGAAGGAAGGUGGGUUUAUAAACCAUCUCAUUUCCAACUUGGUCUCUCCCUUGAGUCCCAGACCAAGGGAAGUUAAUGAAGGAAAAGUUGAAGUUGAAAAUGGGGAAAAAAGUAGUGAUGAUGGGGGAUGGUGGGAAAAAAAAGUAGUGAUGGAAGGCGGUGGUGGCAGUGCUGGUGGAGGAGGGCUCAUCAACAACCUCAUCUCCAAUAUUUUUAAUCAAAGUGAUGAAGAUGGAGUGCACAAAGAAGACAGUGAAGAGGAGAAAGCGCAUAUUGGGGAACAAAAUGAACAGGUG
This 325-nucleotide long non-coding RNA is filed under the name Vitis vinifera (wine grape). Its description in RNAcentral is "long non-coding RNA (VVIN_LNC002473)". The record is from RNAcentral. Lineage: Eukaryota; Viridiplantae; Streptophyta; Magnoliopsida; Vitales; Vitaceae.